RNAcentral lists this long non-coding RNA (2954 nucleotides) under Canis lupus familiaris (dog). Its description in RNAcentral is "lncRNA (ENSCAFG00000054057.1, ENSCAFG00845005732.1)". Lineage: Eukaryota; Metazoa; Chordata; Mammalia; Carnivora; Canidae. The record is from RNAcentral.
GGAGGUGACAGCCGACUUUAUUGAAGGUAGAGAGAGGGUGCCGGUACAGAGUGUCUGGGAAACUCCGGAGAAGAGAGCCCUCGUCUUUGCUUGGGGUCUGGGGUUUUUAUUGAGGACUGUGCUCUGGUGCACGGUCCUCCCAGGCGUCCGGGAACCAUUGCAAGACGGCGAGGGCGCAGGUGGUAUCCCUUAGAGCCGGGGGUCUUGGCCUGGAGCAGUCCAGCGCCAGUCAGGAAUGCGCAGCUGAUAACUUCCGCAGGUCAUUUUCUGCUCCUCAGAUGUUACCUGCUCUAAUGAAACCAAUUCCUAACCCUUACAAGGACACACUAUCUGCAUGAUGAAGCAUGUGUAAAAUGGGGGUGCACGUCCCAGCAGGAAUGGAAUUAGAAAAGGAACAAAAAGCAGACUUGAUGGAGUGCUUCAGUUUUCCUGACUCGGAAGGAGCAAACGGGCUUGGGAAGUUGAAUGACCCCAAGUCUCCCUGACAGACGGCGGGGCAGCGAUGUGAGCCCAUGCGAUGGGACACCCCCGGGUGCCGAAAAUCGUGGCCAGGCCAGAACGGCUAGUCUAGUAUAUCCCGACUCCCGGUUCCCAUCCUGCGGCGUCUGCGACAAAGCGUUUCACUGCCUCGGCGUCCCCGACACUCACGUACAGAGGACGCCGGGACUCAGCCGCAGCGCUCAGCCAGCCAGGCGGCUCGGAGAGGCGGGCCCUAGCGGCCAAUGAGAGCCUUGGGUGCUCCGGGCGUCCGCAGCCGAGCCAAUAGGAGCCGGGCAAGGGCACCUGGGGCGGGGCCGGAGCCCUCUAUUGGCCAGAACUCCUGCCACUCCAGAACGCCCGCUGUCGGACUCGGCCAGGACCUUGCUGCCCUCUCCUGCUGCAGUUCCUCGAGCGUGCCUGCCCUUCCUCUUGUUCUUUGCUCCUCCUCCCUCACUCCCUUUCUUUUUAGGGGGUCAUGACUCCCUAAGAGAAACACUUGAGCGACAAAUAUUUUUAACGUGCCAGCCGUGAGGUAGGUGCUAUAAUGGCAGAUAAAAAAACAGCCUUAGAGUGAAAAGACUUGGCCAACACCCGAAUCGGGAAGUUUCCAGAAGAAAACUGGAAGCAGAGCCCCUGGCUCCUACCUUUAGGUACACAUUGGAAGGUUAGGCAUUUUAAAUGACUUGGGGAACCUUGUGACGUGCAGAGCAGGGGAAUGAAAUGAGUGGAGGAACUUGACAUUGCAGGUAGGGAGAUGUACGCAGGGCCAGUAACAAUGUGAGGUGGAAAGUACCAAGUGCUGGAAGUUUAUCCAUUUGUUCAUUCAACAGCUGUCUUUUUGGUUUUAAAACCAGUUUGGUUUUUUUAAAGAUUUUAUUUAUUCGGGCAGCCCCGGUGGCGCAGCGGUUUAGCACCGCCUGCAGCCCAGGGUGUGAUCCUGGAGACCCAGGAUCGAGUCCCACAUCUCCUGCCUGUGUCUCUGCCUCUCUCUCUGUGUCUCUCAUGAAUAAAGAAAUAAAAAAUAUAUAUAUAAAAAGAUUUUAUUUAUUCACGAAAGACACACACACAGGCAGAGACACAGGCAGAGGGAGAAGCAGGCUCUAUGCAGGGAGCCCAACGUGGGACUCGAUCCCGGGACCCCAGGAUCAGGCCCUGGGCCAGAGGCACUCAAUCGCUGAGCCACCCAGGCUUCCCUCAACAGCUAUUUUAAUAUCUACCAUUUGCAGCCUCCUCCAAGCACAAAGAUCCCUAGAUGGAAUUCAAAUAGUAUCAUGUUUGAUUUUACACAGAAACAAAUACAGAAAACAAAAAUCGUCAUUUAUCCCAACAUACAAAUAACAUCUGCUGAUUUUUUUUUAAGACUUUAUUUAUUUGACACAGAAAGAGAACAUAAGCAGGGGGAGCAGCAGAGGGAGAGGGAAAAGCAGACUCCCUGUCAAGCAGAGAGCCCGAAUGUGGGGCUCCAUGCCAGGACACCGGGAUCAUGACCCAAGCUGAAGGCAGAGGCCUAACAGACUGAGUUACCCAGGUGCCCCACAUCUGCUGAUUUAAAAAGAAAAAGAAAAGAUAAAGAUGAUUUUGAGCUAUGCUUCAAAUGGAAAGGACACAAGAGACACAAUUAAGAGACACAAGGAAGGGAAAAGGGGGUUGAUCAAUAUAACUAAGGAAUGAGUGCAGGGAAUGGGAGUCUAAGAGGAAUCCAAGACAGCUGCAGUCUGGGGAGUGGGAGGCUAAGGGCGCUAUAGAUAGCAAUAAGGAAUAUGGAAUUUGGAUAUGAGAAUAUGACAUUAAGGAUCUCUUCCUAAGGAGCAUGGCGCCAAGAGCUUUGGAAUCCAGGAGACCUGGAUUAAGUGUCACUGAAACAGACCACUAAAGAUAGAAGGUUGAAAUAAGGUAUAUAAUAGAACCAGAAGCCAGUUCCCUUGCUUAAGGAACAAUUUAAAGGGGAGUUGUGACUUCAUAUAUUGACUUCAGAGAUUUAUGCAGCAAUGUAUCCGAAUUUUUAGAACAUGGUCUAAGUAUCUUUGGAAUUUUUUUUAAAGAUUUAUUUAUUUAUUUAUGAUAGACAGAGAGAGAGAGGCAGAGACUCAGGCAGAGGGACAAGCAGGCUCCAUGCCUGGAGCCCGACACGGGACUCGAUCCCAGGACUCCAGGAUCGCGCCCUGGGCCAAAGGCAGGCGCCAAACCGCCAAGCCACCCAGGGAUCCCAGUAUCUUUGGAAUUAAAAGAACCCAGUAAAGCUGGGAUCAAGCAGGUGGGAUGAGUCCAAAUAGCUUCUGAAAUGUGAAUUUCCAGUUAUUUUGAAAAAAGACAGGACCAGGGUACCUGGGUGGCUCAGCUGGACAUCUGUCUUCAGCUCAGGUCGUGAUCCGGCUCUGUGUUCAGUGGGAGCCUGCUUCUCCCUCUCCCUGCCACUCCCCCCACACCCCCACUUGUACUCUCUCUCAAAUAAAUAAAACCUUAAAAAAAAAAAA